AGAGUUUGAUCCUGGCUCAGGAUGAACGCUGGCGGUCUGCUUAACACAUGCAAGUCGAACGGGCUCUUCGGAGCUAGUGGCGGACGGGUGAGUAACGCGUGAGAAUCUGCCUUCAGGAGGGGGAUAACGACUGGAAACGGUCGCUAAUACCCCAUAUGCCUCCGGGUGAAAAGUAAUUCGCCUGAAGAUGAGCUCGCGUCAGAUUAGCUAGUUGGUGGGGUAAGAGCCUACCAAGGCGACGAUCUGUAGCUGGUCUGAGAGGAUGAUCAGCCACACUGGGACUGAGACACGGCCCAGACUCCUACGGGAGGCAGCAGUGGGGAAUUUUCCGCAAUGGGCGCAAGCCUGACGGAGCAAGACCGCGUGGGGGAUGACGGCCUAAUGGUUGUAAACCCCUUUUCUCUGGGAAGAAGACUGACGGUACCAGAGGAAUCAGCCUCGGCUAACUCCGUGCCAGCAGCCGCGGUAAUACGGAGGAGGCAAGCGUUAUCCGGAAUUAUUGGGCGUAAAGCGUCCGUAGGUGGUUAUUCAAGUCUGCUGUCAAAGCGUGGGGCUUAACUCCAUAGAGGCAGUGGAAACUGAGUGACUAGAGUGCGGUAGGGGUCGAGGGAAUUCCCAGUGUAGCGGUGAAAUGC
This 635-nucleotide ribosomal RNA is filed under the name uncultured bacterium. RNAcentral describes it as "bacterial SSU rRNA". It matches the Rfam family "Bacterial small subunit ribosomal RNA", at positions 8 to 689 of the family's 1533-position model. The record is from RNAcentral.